Molecule: ribosomal RNA, 301 nt
Filed under: uncultured bacterium
Lineage: Bacteria
Description: partial 16S ribosomal RNA
Rfam family: Bacterial small subunit ribosomal RNA
Source: RNAcentral
CAGUCGCCGCGGGAAUACGAAGGGUGCAAGCGUUAAUCGGAAUUACUGGGCGUAAAGCGUGCGUAGGCGGUGAGUUAAGUCUGCUGUGAAAUCCCCGGGCCCAACCUGGGAACGGCAGUGGAUACUGGCUCGCUAGAGUGUGUCAGAGGAUGGUGGAAUUCCCGGUGUAGCGGUGAAAUGCGUAGAGAUCGGGAGGAACAUCAGUGGCGAAGGCGGCCAUCUGGGACAACACUGACGCUGAGGCACGAAAGCGUGGGGAGCAAACAGGAUUAGAUACCCCCGUAGUCCCUGUCUCUUAUAC